This is a long non-coding RNA of Oncorhynchus tshawytscha (Chinook salmon), 2053 nucleotides long. NCBI's taxonomy places the organism in Eukaryota, Metazoa, Chordata, Actinopteri, Salmoniformes, Salmonidae. The record is from Ensembl.
CGGCAGGGCAGAAAAAAUUGGACUGAACGACACACAGACUGAUUGAAUUGGACUGUGCGUGUCUUCACACGAGGCUCUGCUUCUCGGUAUGCUGCUGCGGAGCGCUAAAUUCAAAGUUGUGUUGCGUCACUGGGGAGGACUCCUCGGUACAGUUCAGCUGUGAUUACACUCCUCCUCCUCUUACACAGAACACUGACAACCUCAGUCCUCACUGAAGCCACUGGACAUUACCUCACUCUUCGGUACAUAGAUGAGAUAUCCAAACAGACAGGUUUUCUGAUUCCAAAGCCAUAUGGAUAUUGGAUGUAUGCAUGUUGUGGUACUAUCUUUAGAGGAUAGUGCAUGUCACUCCUGUUGUGCACUGAUGAGAGGACCAGGCUUCCCAAUGGAUGGAAUGGUGCAUGUGUGGCUGCUGAUAGGGUUCAUCCAGGUGAUCAGUUUCUCUUGUGUCCAGUGCGGCCGAGUUGGCGGUCGUGGUUGUUGAGGUUAUGUUUGGCCGCUUCCCCUCUGGUCCAGACUGCUACACUAUCUCCUACAGAAUGGCACACAACCUCACGGUGUGGCUUGAUCCUAUUGGCCGCUCUGAGUGUUCACCUGACUGCAGGCUGCUGCUGCAAUUGGCUGAGGAGCCAGUAGGAAGUGACAUCACAUGGAACGCUAUAAAAAAAACUAAGACUAAGACCUUUCAUAUUGCUCCUGUCCCCCUCUCCUCUCUCCGUGUCGAGGUGACCACCACCAGUGCUUUGCUGUCCUGCACCCUACAGAUCCAACAGACUCUCACUGCCCUCACUCUUCACAACCAUGCACACCAAACACACACACACACUGACCACACACACAACUCCUCGUACGCAGUGAGAGGUCUGCAGCCUGGAGCACACUACAGCAUCACAGCAGAGUUGACCACGCCCUUCACACACCUCAACAUCAGCCUCACCCAGAGACUACACACCACCAUGGAUACAGCCCAAUGUCCUAUUGGUUGGCUGGCGAGCGGAAGGAGCUACUAUAGUGUGAGUAGGCAGAGCCUGUCAUGGGGCGACGCCCAGCAAACCUGUAUGGGCGUGGCUUCAGGAGGUCACCUGGUAGACGUUAAAACAGAGACAGACCUCCUCCUCCUCUCCUCUCACCUGACCACACAUAACAACCUGCUACUGCUCUGGACCGCUCUCAAUGACAGAAAGGAGAAGAGGUGGCCCCAUUCGUCCGAUGGCUCCUCCUACAACAUGGCUAGUGCUAUCAUUAUCGCUGCUAGCCAAUCAGACGGACUGUUUUGCCCUGCAGAAGAACUCUACUGGACCCGGCUACUUUCUUACGCCAUUCUUCUGCCACAUCCUUUUACCCUUUAUCCGUUACUGGGAAAAGAGAAAAGCAGAUAUCCACUGGAGUGAUGUCACCCCCCCCCAGCUCUAUGUCCAAUACAAAGAUCAGGAAGGGGAAGAAAAUGGGGAAGAGGAGAAAGAAAGGGAGAAGAGAAGUGCAGGUCGUGUCCCAGUGUCCCUAUUGUCCAGAGGGCCGAAGGUGCCAGGUCUGUCCCCAGGGAAGAUCUACUCUCUGUCCCUCAGAGCCUCUCACCUCGCUGGGGCCGCUUGAAGCCUUGGGAACACGCACAUCACUCACACACGGCCCCUUCCCCCUCGGAACAUCACCAUUUGCAAUGUGACAGCCAGUCAGAUCACAGUAAACUGGACGGCCCCAGACUCCCAGCAUGCUGUGCUGUUCCUGGUUUGCUGGGGGGAUGUAGCUUCAGGCCAGGAGAGGAGAAGGGGCGUGGCCAACAGUUCCAGGUCGACUGUGAUUGGAGGACUGGAGGGGUUCAGGAAGUACAGGGUCAGAGUUAACGCCGUCACAGAACAUGAUGUGGCAAGUAGUGGAGGAACUGACCAUACACACUGGUGGGAGAGGGUGGUGUGGAGUACAAUAGAGAUUGCGUCAUCUAUGGAUCCGUUGGUGCAGUAUGCAAAUCGGAAUGGGUCCAGGGUGUCUCGAAUGAUGGUGUGAUCCAGGAGCAGUCUUUCAAAGCAUUUCAUGUCUACAGAUGUGAGUACUACGG